RNAcentral lists this ribosomal RNA (492 nucleotides) under uncultured bacterium. RNAcentral describes it as "partial 16S ribosomal RNA". It matches the Rfam family "Bacterial small subunit ribosomal RNA", at positions 29 to 507 of the family's 1533-position model. The record is from RNAcentral.
AGUGAACGCUGGCGGUAGGCCUAACACAUGCAAGUCGAACGGCAGCACAGUAAGAGCUUGCUCUUACGGGUGGCGAGUGGCGGACGGGUGAGGAAUACAUCGGAAUCUACUUUUUCGUGGGGGAUAACGUAGGGAAACUUACGCUAAUACCGCAUACGACCUACGGGUGAAAGCAGGGGAUCUUCGGACCUUGCGCGAUUGAAUGAGCCGAUGUCGGUUUAGCUAGUUGGCGGGGUAAAGGCCCACCAAGGCGACGAUCCGUAGCUGGUCUGAGAGGAUGAUCAGCCACACUGGAACUGAGACACGGUCCAGACUCCUACGGGAGGCAGCAGUGGGGAAUAUUGGACAAUGGCCGCAAGCCUGAUCCAGCCAUACCGCGUGGGUGAAGAAGGCCUUCGGGUUGUAAAGCCCUUUUGUUGGGAAAGAAAAGCAGCAGGUUAAUACCCCGCUGUUCUGACGGUACCCAAAGAAUAAGCACCGGCUAACUUCGUG